Molecule: ribosomal RNA, 492 nt
Filed under: Meyerozyma caribbica
Lineage: Eukaryota; Fungi; Ascomycota; Pichiomycetes; Serinales; Debaryomycetaceae
Description: partial 28S ribosomal RNA
Rfam family: Eukaryotic large subunit ribosomal RNA
Source: RNAcentral
UAGCGGCGAGUGAAGCGGCAAAAGCUCAAAUUUGAAAUCUGGCACCUUCGGUGUCCGAGUUGUAAUUUGAAGAUUGUAACCUUGGGGUUGGCUCUUGUCUAUGUUUCUUGGAACAGGACGUCACAGAGGGUGAGAAUCCCGUGCGAUGAGAUGCCCAAUCCUAUGUAAGGUGCUUUCGAAGAGUCGAGUUGUUUGGGAAUGCAGCUCUAAGUGGGUGGUAAAUUCCAUCUAAAGCUAAAUAUUGGCGAGAGACCGAUAGCGAACAAGUACAGUGAUGGAAAGAUGAAAAGAACUUUGAAAAGAGAGUGAAAAAGUACGUGAAAUUGUUGAAAGGGAAGGGUUUGAGAUCAGACUCGAUAUUUUGUGAGCCUUGCCUUCGUGGCGGGGUGACCCGCAGCUUAUCGGGCCAGCAUCGGUUUGGGCGGUAGGAUAAUGGCGUAGGAAUGUGACUUUGCUUCGGUGAAGUGUUAUAGCCUGCGUUGAUGCUGCCUG